AAUAGAUUUUCCAGUUGGGCUACAUGAGCAGAACAGUUCAGCAGGAAGGCUAUGUUCAGGAUAGUCAUUCAAGGGACCCCAGAUUGCAGAUGCUCCUCAACACAGACUGCCACAAUUGUCGUGCCCAGAUCCCAAAAUCUACUUAGCAAGAAGCCGUUGGCUGCAGAGACAACUUAUGAUUGUCAUCCAGCUGGGAAUCUCCCGACCUGCAGAAACCAGCCACUAAAGCAACUAUUCCAUGUUGGACUCCUGUUGUCAAUUCACUGUAUUCAUGCUUAAUGCAAUUUGUGUCUGAUUUGACCUAUGUGCCUGCCCUGGAUUCAUCCUUCUCCGGAACCACCUGCAACUAGGACAACUCUUCCAGGACUGAUCCUGUUAAAACAUGUCUUCAGUAUUGAUCCCAUUCUUCUCUGUGGUUUCAAAGCUUCAAGGUAACAUGGUUCCAGGUUUACAUCCAGCAAGAAAGAAAAAAAAUUCCUCCCUGAAUAACUCAAUAAAGAGACAUGGAAUUUGGGGAGUGAGGGCAUGAUUGGCCUGACUUGAGUCAUCUCUCCAUCUCUCCUACACCAAUCACUGUUGCCCAGAGGAGAAGCUUAUGAUUUUUGCAUUGGAGGACAGUAAUUCUUCUACCCAAGAAAUUGAUGACCUAAAGACAAGAAAUAGCCUCUUACUCAAGCACAAACUUCAGAAGAGAAUACAUCUUUAUUACUUGAUUUUCCUCAUGAUUCCAUUAUCUACCAGACCCUGCCUUUACAUCCCUCUCUAGCUAAUGUCCCCUAGGUCACUAAUUUCAAUUUUUUUUACUACUGUCUUCAAUUUACUCUCUGUCUUUCUACCAUACCCAUCAAGGCACUCUCUAAACAUAGAUAAAUAAAACUCUUUGCUUCUUUUUUCUCCUAAACACUGAAAAUAUUCAAAGAAACAUAUGAAAAAUUACUAAUUUUCAAAUUUACAUUUAUGCCCAUCCUUCUCAGAUGAGAAGAUAAUCACUCUUCCUUUCCUUGGCUCCUGUUCUCUUUCUCUUUAUUCUCUCUCCCAGGACACUCACCCCUCUCAUCCCCAAAUCUUUUUCCUUUCAGUGCCAAAUCCUUCCUUCCUAGCCAAAAAAGGACAGAUCUUGCCUAAGUCAUAUCCUAGGAGGUCUCAGCAGUAAAGUAUGCAGAACCAAGGGAAAAACACAAAGAUAAAUACCAAAGGAUCUUCAUUUGACACUGCUUCAUCACCACUACCCUGCUCUCCUACCAAUAAACUAUUACCCCACGAUCACAGAUCCCUCUCUGAGAAGUUACUCAGAUGCCGCGGCACAAAAGGAUCAACUUCUGAAUGCUGGGUGACUAGCAAGUCAUCCUAGGAAAGUCACAAUGAGUAUUCUAAUCAAAGUGAAGGGGUCUAAACAGAGAAUGGAGGCUGAACCGUGAAAAGCAAAACACUUUGGCAAAAAAAGGCAGAAAUCAGAGUAUUUUUCUGAAUUUCCACCAAUUUGGUGGAAAGCCAACUUCUAAAAGAGUAGCUCUUCAGUAAGCAGGUUUUGUACUAGCUCUGUAAUAGAAAGCUUAAAAGAUCAUUUACUAAUCUGAAUUUCUAUGAGGAGAAGCACAGCUACACUUGCGGGCAAGUGCUUCCUAGACCAUGAAAGAUCUUAAAGGUACCUGCUCACACUUUCAACUGUGAUGAGCUGGUGAAGACUGGCUCAAAACCUCAGCACUGGUGUUGUGAGAGAUGUUUGACAGCCCUGGAGUUCAAAGACUGAUGUGCUUUCUUCUACUGGCUCUACGUAUUGGAACUAAGUAAAAAUCUUGAAAGUGAAAUAUUCUCAGAAUAGGAUCAUUCACUUGAUAAGCUUAUUUUGACUUCCUGAGAAAGGAAAGGGCAGAAAAAGAAAGAAAAAGACAUUGAAUCUUUACUUUCUCUGUUGACCUUGAAAGCAAUGAUGUUAAUUGGAGUAUAAUUUAAUUUCAAACUAUUUUCAUUUAAAAACAAGAAAGGAAGAGGGGAA
Molecule: long non-coding RNA, 1996 nt
Organism: Canis lupus familiaris (dog)
Lineage: Eukaryota; Metazoa; Chordata; Mammalia; Carnivora; Canidae
Exons: 5
Source: RefSeq, a predicted model, not a curated record